GUACUGUGUGUGAUGUUGCUCCAUCGCUGUGAGUGUAGCUUUAUACAGCAUUUGGCAUAGAGGGUCUGUGUUGAUUUGGACUAUGGAGAUGGAGCAGCGGUGUUUUAAUAUAUAUGAUGAUAGCCAUGGCGAUAGAAGAGAAAGCCAAACAGACAGAACUGAGAACAUCUAUCAGUGUCUGCAGUAUCCUCCAACUGCACCACGUACCCAACCUAAUGAAACUGAGCCAUCUACUUCAGAUAAAUGUGGAGGGAAGAAGAUGAUACUCCCACUUCUCAUUAUCAUCAUUUUCUUACUAACCGCCAUCCUUUUCAUUGCUACGAUGCAUUACUACCACUUUAUACAAACCAGAUUGGGAAACAGCCAGAACACAAACAAAGAACUGUGGAUUCUUCAUGCCAACAUGUUCUACUUGUUUUGGAGCAACCAUGGUGACUGUGACACUGCUGAGAGAUUCUGCGCCAAGAGAAACGCCAGCCUUGCAGCUGCAGCUGAAUAUAACCUGGCCUGGCUGCAGUCACAGGCCAAAGGAAAGCGCCUCCUAGUGAGGACAGAAACCUCCAACGGCUCUGGAGACUCUGCAUUUGUCCACACACAUACGGAUGAAGAUGAUUUUGAUUGCGACUUCCUCGAUGGGACAUCUGAUAAGAACCAGGUGGAGGGAUGGGUGUGUGAGAAAGAAGCAACAUGAAGCAAAAGGGAAACCAUUCCAAACAGCUUUGUGUUGCACAGUGCUCUUUGAAAAUUCUGAGUUAUUCUUCCGGCGUGUUUUCUUGUUUGCUUGCUUAUUUGUUUUUGUACUUGCUGCUCAGGGUCACCUCCUUGCCCCCAUCUCAGUUGGGUUUAAAAACAUCUCAUAAUGUUACUUUCUAUUUAAACAAUUGGGAAAUGAGAAACUACAGCAGGGGUGCCCAAAUCUGCUUGUGGAGGGCCAGUGUCCAGCACAGUCUGGUUUGUUAGGUGUGAGAGGAAAAACGACCAAACUGUGGCCCACUAGAACCAGAGCUGUGCACCCCUGAACUACAGGAUGCGUUUACCAUAAAUUGGCAACCAUUCGUGCUAAUUUUCUUGAGGUCAAUAAGGCCAGGUGAUUAUUUAUUUUUGCCCUUAUAUAAUAAGAAUCUGUGCAUUUGCCCUUUAAUUAGUUUUACCUGUCUUGUACCUGUAUACCAUUUACAACAUAGGUAUACUUUGUAGGUUUACAGUUACUGAUUGUAGUCACUGAGUGGGUAUACCAGUUUCAGCACAUAGUAGCACAUGGUAGUGUCUGACGGUGGUUCGAGCUAUGGGGUACAGUGGUGGGGCUCUGUAUACCCAAGGCACCUCGUGUAGAUACAGUUUAAUCAUUUUGGUUAACACACUGCCAGUUUUAAGACCCUCAAAUAUGCCAAUGUGCCAUGGAUCCUUUCCAACGAUGUGUGGCAUUUUAUUCGCAGAAACAGAUCAGUAAUUACUACAAAGCACACGACUGUGGCAGAACAGAAGUGGUGUACAAAAUAAACUAGAAAAUCAGUGAACAUUGUCAUGUUGUGCUUUGAAAAGUAUGGUUAAGUAUAAAAUAUAAAAACAUAGAUUUGGAUAUUUUUGAUAAAAUUGUAUUUGAAAAACUUUUUACAUUUUUGACAAAAAUGUAUUUGAUAAAUUUUGGAAUCUUUGUCCAAAAUUUGAAUUUGGUUGCAUCCUACAUGUUCACAGAGAGAAUAAACAGUCCAUCUUUAAGCAUGGUUCCUUUGGGGUCCUUUAGAGCCUAUCCCUUACUAGCUCUACUAUCAAAAACAUGACUGCCAAAUGCGAAAAGGCUUCUGCAAAACCCAAACGGUUUCAAUUAAUGGAGUAAACAGCUAAAAAUGAAAAAAACUUGUUUCUAACCAUUUGUACAAGACAUUCCUUAAAAUCUGGAAAGUAAAUGGAUGGAUUCUAAUCUAAGUAAUCUUAGCAGUCAUGUUUCUGUUUUUCUACUGAAAAGAAGAUUUGGGAUGAUGGGAGUAGCAUUACUGCUACUGAGUGCUCAUUGGUUGGUGAGCUGAUCAGGUCACUGGCUUAGUAAAGCAGUUUGCAUUCACUGAUGUCAUGAAUGUCUGUAUUACCUUUAGUUUAAAAGCAUUCAAGAAUAUAACACAUAUAUAUUUAUGUGUUCAGAAAUGUUGUGCUUUUUUUUCUAUAUAAAAAAAUAUAGUUUACAAACUACGAUUUUGCACAAAAGUUCCAUCGGAAACCGUUCAUUUUGGACUUGCUUGGGAGUUUACGAUCCUGGAAGACCUUAUUGAGUGGUAAUUCUCCUCACAUUCUUUGGUUCCAUCACAAAAAAAAAAAAUCAUAUUAAUAAUUCAAGGUCCAUAAACCUGUAUGGAUGCUGUUAUAAUACAAAAUAAAAUUGUGCUAUUAUUCCAACUGCACCAGAUGGUUAACCUGCUACAGCCAGGGCAACAGACAAUACAUCACAUUUUUUACAGCCCUGUCACUCUCACGUUCCCUUUUGGACUGGUUGUCAAAUAGCCUUUUACACGGUCAUUGUGUUAAUAUGAUGGAGUUGUUCAAGUAUUUUGCAGGAUUUGCAGAGAUCACAUGAUGCCAGCCUCACUCUCGUGCUCCAAUCAGUGCUCCAGUUCCCCAGAGUACCGAUUGGUUUCACCUGUCCUUCUCUGAUUAGUUUAGCUUAAAGCCGGGCCUGUAGCUAAAUUCAUUGCGAGGUAUUGCUUCUUUCCACAGAGCUACUGAGCAUUAUUUCUAACUGUUAAUUCCUGAUCUGAUCUGUUUUGCCUUUUUUUUGUAAUCUUUGUUUUUGUGUUUAUUGUCUUUUCUGGAUUUGACCAUUGCCUGUGACCUGACCACGAUUGUGGCUUCUGUUUGCACCACUAAAGCCUCUCAUUCACCUUUUAUCUGUGAGCGUCUGCGUCAUUCUGUCUCCUUACAAUGAACUUCAUUCUUUUCCUAUUUUUUCCCCACAAAAGUGUGUUAAAAAUGAUAGUAAACAGAGACAGAGAUGAUAUAUAAAUAAAAUAAAAC
Molecule: long non-coding RNA, 3006 nt
Organism: Pygocentrus nattereri (red-bellied piranha)
Lineage: Eukaryota; Metazoa; Chordata; Actinopteri; Characiformes; Serrasalmidae
Source: Ensembl